CACACGUGCUGCAUCCCUCCCAUUCUGUUGCACUUAAGUCCAGAUUAACUCUGACCAUUCCCACACGCAAGCAGAGAGCGACACAACACCACGGUGCCUAAGACCAUAGAAACUGCCACAGAGGUGGGGGCAGAGAUCGUCUUCAAGGUUGCUGUCAUCUGGAAUUUUAUGUCCUUCAUUUUCUUUCACUCUGUAUGCCUGUCACAUCGGCUUAACUACCAGAGAAGACCUUCCAGCAUGCCUGGUUUCUUCCAACCUUAUUAACUGAUGUAAAGAAAGAGGACAGGACUUCCUAUGGUCCUCGGCAGUGCUCUGCAAGUCAUCCUGGAGAUUUGAGUCUGUGGAGCUUUCUGGGAAGAAUAUUUCAUUUGUUUUUAUUUCUGCACUCCCAAGCUAUGUAAUUAAUGUUGCAUAAGCACAGAUAUACUGUUUACAGCUUCCUAAAAUCUCACCUAGAGCAUCAGAUGGAAAUUUUCUAGCCUCAGUUUCUGCCUGAAGGUGAAUAUAUACUAAACAGUUCAGCAAAAAUUGAGAUGCUCAAGAACGAAAGCAGGAAGAAAAAGAGCCCUAUGGCUGGAGAGACUUAUGGAAACCUUUCUGGAGGAAGGCCUCUUCUCUAACUGACAGACUGGGGAUCAGGGAUAAAAAACACAGCUCAUUUCAAACUGAAACAUGUAAAUUCUUGUUCUGAGAUGAUACAACAAUCCUUUUCCCUCAAGACUAUUACCUUGACAAAGUGACUCCUAUAGUUUAGCUCCCUUUUAUUUUCAAUUCAACGGCUUAAUAAAGAAUUGAAAAGACCCUGCAUUAUCUUCCUCUGAAAGAAACACAUUAUGUCAUUUUACUGGUGAAGAAACACUUCGAGAAGCACUUGCUGUUCCUACUGAGAGCCUGUCGCAGGUGGACUUUGCUUGAUGCCUCUUGCUGACUCCUGGACUUGUUUUCCUCGGCAUUAUUUAUGGGAACCUUUCCAGGCAGAAGCUGCUUCAGAUUUCAUGGUGAAUAUAUCUGUCAGUCCAACACACUGAGAAUUUCAGCCUACCAUGAAGCAUCACACAACGCCGAAAGUGAGGAGGUGUGACUGGCGUUCAAGAGACAAGAGCAGAAGCAAAAAUGACCGUAGCACUCGUCCAGAAGUCACAACCUUAUACAGAGGCUCCACCCUGUGCUCCUAGUUUUUGGUCUAGCAUGGCACCAAUGCCUUGCUACAUAGCUUUGCAAAAGCUUCAGUUUCUCAGAGGUAUUUAGGCACUUAAACCAAUGAGAAGUGGUACAUAUAGCCUUUCAGAAAUCUGUCUUUGAUUUCAUCAUCCCAUAAAUCUCUUUAAUGGAGACAUUCCUUAUCUUUUCUGCUUCACAAGCCAGUUGUGAAGCUUAAUUAUGUUAUGAUUAUGAAGUCCAGUAAAUACACUGCAUAUUAAGAGUAGUUAAUGAUAUUUCUGUCACAAACAGACUCUGUAUCUUCUAGAAUAUUAUUCACAUGUUGCAAAAAGAACUCCAACAGUUUUCAAAAGAAAAUCACAGACAUAUUUAACAGAAAACAAAUUCAGCUUGAUUUCUUCCAUGAAUAAUAUGUUAUACAACUCAACGAUACUUAUUAACAUGGCAUGGAAAAUAACAGAGACUUUUCUGACCAACGUGGAAUGCUGUCUGCCCAUCCACAUAUCAAUCAUUACCUGAAGUACCUGGCCAAGACUCGCAUCCCCACCCUCGAGUAAUCUGCUUUCUCAGGGAUCUAGUCGCUUAAAUACACCCAAAGACAUGACAUGAGAUACUGUUGCACUGAGUACUAUGUAAAUCCAUUACAAAUAGUUUGACUUGUUUUCAAGUUGUGUAUACCCAGUAAUACUGCCUUGCCUUACCACUGGGUUUCACACAUAAAAAGUGCACGUGGAAUGUAUUCAGCCAGUUAAGAUUCCUCACACUGCUACAACUUUUUGUUCAUAAUCUUUGCAUGAUCAAAAUAUGUUAUGUUGCCAGAAAAGAAUGAGGAAAGACAGUAAAAAUAAAAAAAGAGAAAGUCUAAAUGGUUAUGCAGUAAUGUAAUGGCUGAAGAGGGUCCAUUGCACAAGAGAUAAAUACUUUCCCGACAGAUACUCGUAUACUGACCAAUUCAUUAAUGUCGUAGUGCAGUGGGCCUUGGCUAGAUGAAUAUGUGCACACAUAAGAAUGCAGAGAAAGCAUGACUUGCACAUUCAGUGCUUUGUCAAGUGGUAGUAAAGCAUAUAGCUUAAUAAGGGGAGGAGUAAUCAAAGGGGGAAGGCGUGAUUCCUUAGAAAGACAGGGCUCUCUGGUAUGCAUCCUUCCCAGGCAAAGCAAACAUACAUCUUACCUAUGCUAUAUCUGGGCAAAUACGUUUUCUUUUAGCAAUUAUGAUACAAAAUUCACAGAUUAAUAAGACUUUUGCAGAACUCAGGCAGGAUUGAUUUUCAGCACACAGUGCCUGUUACAGCAAGUUCUAUUUCUAUUCAUCAAAAGAAAACCUGUUUGUUGACCUAAAGUGAGAUUGCUUCCUAUUCUCUUCCUGUGAAAUUAUUUAGGUCCUAUGGGACAACUGUACUGAGCUUUUGACGCAAAUAUUAAAAUUCUAUUUAGAUGUACAAUGUUUUAAUGCAAAUUUUUACCAUAAAACCAAAUGCUCCAUUCAGUUAAAUUAAUAGAAUUACAAAAAGAUGUAAUGAUAGCAAUUAAGUCUUGAAAAUGCAAAUUUUAUAGUCAAGGACAAUUACCUCAUUUAUAGUAUACUGGAAUGAUGCCAGAUGAAGGUAAUUUAGAUCCCCCUAGCUCACAGUUAUAUCAUGAAGGAUAUCUUAAUUUCAUUAGUACAACAAAGAUGGGUAAGAAGUUAGAGAAUACAAAAAAAAAAGAGAUAGGAGAGAAAAUUUGACCUUUCUCAUUUCAUUGUAACUAAAAUACAUAGAUCGUCCUAAAGUAUUAGUAAUAUUUCUUUGUACUCCCAUUUCCGAAAAAAUACUUUUUUUUUUUUGAACAUUAGUAUGUGAAAGGUCAGCUUCAUUGUGCCCAUACCACAACAGUUACAAAACUCCCAUUAUUUCAGUUUUGAGGAUGUAUACAAUGCUCACACUUGGCCUACAAGGUCUCAAGCCUUGAUUUUGACUCAAAACAUGAUUUUGACUCAAACAGAACUUAAAAGAUCUUGAAAAAUUCUGCUCUCUCUUACAAAAGUACUCUUACCUUCUUCUAACAGGAAAUCCAAGUAUCACUAGUUUUUGAUUAGCAUAACAAAAGGUGAUCAAAUGGAUGCAGAAUACAGACUGAUAUUCUUCAGAUUUCCUAGCCUGUUUGUGGUGAAGUGGGGGUGGGAGAAAAAACUGUUUCAUACAGACUCUUUUGCAAUUUACCAAAUUCAAAUAGGAAUUUGGAAGACUCCAGAGGUUCUUUCUCACUGCUCUAGUACCUACUCGUAAUUCAAACAAAUAUGCAGGGAAUGGCAUAUUAUAUAUGAAGUAAUAUGAAGCUUAAAUAAAAACUCUUUACGUUUACCAUUGUUAUUUCAUGAGCUGCUGUAGCGGCUACAGAGCAACUCCAGUUCAAGAGACUUGGGCUCACUGAAAACCUGUAUCCUUCUAAAGCAUUCUAGUUCUAUCAAAUUCCCUUACUAAAACCUGUCACGGGGGUUCUGGGAAGAGUCGAAAACCUUAUGGACAGAGCAGCAAACUUUUCACCACUUUCCUCACCCUGAGCACAAGUAACAAGAGCAGCACAAAGCAUGCUUGCCAAGAGAAGGAGCUCCUUACCCACAAAAGAUGUGGCUCAUUUGUGGCUUAACUCCAGACUUUGCAUCCUGGAGUUGCCCCCAAACCUCCCUCUGGAAAACCCACCUCAACACCCUAUAAUGUGCCAACAGCAGGAGAACGAGUUUACCUCUUUGCAACAUCACACUGCAGUCAGAAUGCAAGACUGCAGAUCCCAACCUAGACACCCUCCCAGUGUUACUUUGUAGACCCUGCUUGCUGCAGAACAACCCAUGCGUGUGAGGGGUAUAAGAUUUUUAUCCUUCAUGCCAUUGUCUCCAUGAUAGCUAGUGUAAUAUUUUUAACUGAUAAAAUUCAUAUACGCAAGCCUUACUGGGAAACAAGUGGAAACAAGUCAAAUUGUUUUGUUAAUCUGACCUACAAGUUCACUAAAAUUGUUCUUCAGUGAUUUAGUUAAAGGCACCAUUUACCAUAAAAACAGAGUCUUAAAAUCAAAGGACAGCUAUGACCCGAGUUUAGUUCAUUAUUGAUUUUAAUAACAAGGCUGUUGGCUAUUUUGUUUUAAGAAAACAAGACUAUUCUGAUGGAAAAAAAAAAAAGUACCCUAAGUAGGAUUUGUGCUCUUUCUUCCUUAUUCCUGAAUUAAAAUGCAGCUGUGCACACACGGAGACUUGUUGACUUUGCUUGCUUGGAGAUGGUUUUGUGAAAAUAAGAAAAGGCCUAGUUUUUUUCCCCCCUACGCUUGUCAACAUGUCAACAUCAGGCACACUUGUAGUGCUGUCCUUGUUUUGCACUGGUCUCACAAGUCAAAGUUUGACCACAAUGAAGUGAGCUGGAGAAAUGUCAUUGACUUCAAUGGCACGAUUUCACUCCAUAUUUCUUCAAGUCAAGGAUGCUACCAGUCACCUGUUUGAAACCAAUGGAUGAUAUUCUGGCUCAAGGAAAGUCAUUGGCUUCCUGAGGGGUUCAGAUUUCCUUCAGUGAAUUCAGACUUCUAUUGUCCAAGAGGAAAAUUAGACCUUGUACCAAUAUUGUCCUUUCCCAUGCUUCUGAUUAUUAUACUCCAUUACACCUGAGAAGUUAACCUGAGCUUGUUAUUUUUAAUUUGUUUGUUUGUUUAUAUGGACCAAUUCUAAACUCUCAGAAAGUCUUUGUGGAUGUCAUUUGGAGAUUUGGCUUAAUCACGCGUGCUUAAUUGAGUUAAGACUGGGUAUGUUUGUACUUUAAUUGUACAACAGAUCUUAAACUUCCAUGUCAUUUUAUUGAAAAGUAUAGAUUUAACAAGCUAAUAUUUUGUGAAUCUGCUGAGUCUCAGCUGUUGCAGGGUGAAAUGUUUUAUCUAGACUAUUCUCAGUGUGUCUCAGUUGUAAAAAAAAAAAACAGGCUGUUAUUGUAAUAGGAUAUUGAUUAGUUUGGAUCCUAUACAAAGCAGAACUUGAUUCUGUGGUGGACCACCAAAGGUCAUAUUGCUUGAUUGCUCCAUAGCUUCUAAAAUACAAGAAAUAUUGAACCAAAACUGCUUUCAAUUAUACUUACGUUAUAUGAGGCCUUGGAAUUUAACUGAGGGCAGCAUUUGGCCCAUUCCGUUAAAAGGGGGGCUGAUUCUCAGCAUUUCAUGUUGUCAUUGGCAAAGCUGAACAUCAGUUAUGCCCAUCUAAGUGAUGUUCUGGGCUAAACUUAAUUCCAAGAUAAGCAGGUGCACAUCUAUCCAUUGACUUACAUUUCGAUGUAUCUGACAUAGGAUGAUCUGUGCGUAGUGUUAUCUGAAAAUUAUGUUGGGUUUAUGAUUAUUGUUGUUUUUACAACUUCCUGUGCAUUUUUGAGGAAGAAUAUUUAUAACUGUUUAUAUACCUCAGAUCUCUAAAUUCCUCACUUCAUCUGUCACAAUGAUCUUAGGUUGGCAAUAGGCUAACACCUCGCUGUUAAGUAAGAUUUAACCAAAGCAUGAUGCUGUUGUGAGUGAAAUGAAUUAGCUUUUUUUUCUGACAAAUAUGCAGACCAAAAAUUAUAUAGUGUUGUCAAAAUAUGUUGUCAAAAACAGUAUAGAUCUAGCUCUUCCAUUAGUUAGACUGACACCACCAAGGCUUCUAGGAAAUGUCGUAAGUGGGGGGAAAUUUUUUCCUAUUCUAUCUUCUUUCAAUAAAUUCAAUUUUCUGGUUAGGACUCCAAUAGAGAAAAUUUCAUUUGUGGUCACCCACAAAAUUCAAGACAACUAUGGAGAAGAAUUCUAGUAACAACUCAAUUAUUUCCUUGAUCCUAUCAGGAAUGUGAGUUAGAUUUUGCUUAAUGCUAGAUUCCACUAAAUCCUAAAAUGCGGUA
Cuculus canorus (common cuckoo) is the source of this 6035-nucleotide long non-coding RNA. RefSeq lists it as uncharacterized. The record is from RefSeq and is a predicted model, not a curated record. NCBI's taxonomy places the organism in Eukaryota, Metazoa, Chordata, Aves, Cuculiformes, Cuculidae. The transcript is spliced from 5 exons.